RNAcentral lists this ribosomal RNA (759 nucleotides) under uncultured Haemophilus sp. RNAcentral describes it as "bacterial SSU rRNA". It matches the Rfam family "Bacterial small subunit ribosomal RNA", at positions 28 to 776 of the family's 1533-position model. Lineage: Bacteria; Pseudomonadati; Pseudomonadota; Gammaproteobacteria; Pasteurellales; Pasteurellaceae. The record is from RNAcentral.
AUUGAACGCUGGCGGCAGGCUUAACACAUGCAAGUCGAACGGUAGCAGGAGAAAGCUUGCUUUCUUGCUGACGAGUGGCGGACGGGUGAGUAAUACUUGGGAAUCUGGCUUAUGGAGGGGGAUAACUACGGGAAACUGUAGCUAAUACCGCGUAGUAUCGUAAGAUGAAAGUGCGGGACCGCAAGGCCGCAUGCCAUGGGAUGAGCCCAAGUGGGAUUAGGUAGUUGGUGGGGUAAAGGCCUACCAAGCCUGCGAUCUCUAGCUGGUCUGAGAGGAUGGUCAGCCACACUGGAACUGAGACACGGUCCAGACUCCUACGGGAGGCAGCAGUGGGGAAUAUUGCGCAAUGGGGGGAACCCUGACGCAGCCAUGCCGCGUGAAUGAAGAAGGCCUUCGGGUUGUAAAGUUCUUUCGGUAUUGAGGAAGGAGUGUAUGUUAAUAGCAUACAUUAUUGACGUUAAAUACAGAAGAAGCACCGGCUAACUCCGUGCCAGCAGCCGCGGUAAUACGGAGGGUGCGAGCGUUAAUCGGAAUAACUGGGCGUAAAGGGCACGCAGGCGGUUAUUUAAGUGAGGUGUGAAAGCCCCGGGCUUAACCUGGGAAUUGCAUUUCAGACUGGGUAACUAGAGUACUUUAGGGAGGGGUAGAAUUCUACGUGUAGCGGUGAAAUGCGUAGAGAUGUGGAGGAAUACCGAAGGCGAAGGCAGCCCCUUGGGAAUGUACUGACGCUCAUGUGCGAAAGCGUGGGGAGCAAACAGG